UACGUAGGUGGCAAGCGUUGUCCGGAUUUACUGGGCGUAAAGAGCGCGCAGGCGGUCGUUCAAGUCGAGUGUGAAAGCCCCCGGCUCAACUGGGGAGGGUCACUCGAUACUGAUCGACUCGAAGGCAGGAGAGGGAAGCGGAAUUCCCGGUGUAGUGGUGAAAUGCGUAGAUAUCGGGAGGAACACCAGUGGCGAAGGCGGCUUUCUGGCCUGCACUUGACGCCGAGGCGCGAAAGCUAGGGUAGCAAACGGG
This 253-nucleotide ribosomal RNA is filed under the name uncultured bacterium. RNAcentral describes it as "partial 16S ribosomal RNA". It matches the Rfam family "Bacterial small subunit ribosomal RNA", at positions 524 to 776 of the family's 1533-position model. The record is from RNAcentral.